Molecule: ribosomal RNA, 896 nt
Filed under: Chaetomium elatum
Lineage: Eukaryota; Fungi; Ascomycota; Sordariomycetes; Sordariales; Chaetomiaceae
Description: LSU rRNA
Rfam family: Eukaryotic large subunit ribosomal RNA
Source: RNAcentral
UAGCAUAUCAAUAAGCGGAGGAAAAGAAACCAACAGGGAUUGCCCUAGUAACGGCGAGUGAAGCGGCAACAGCUCAAAUUUGAAAUCUGGCUUCGGCCCGAGUUGUAAUUUGCAGAGGAAGCUUUAGGCGCGGCACCUUCUGAGUCCCCUGGAACGGGGCGCCAUAGAGGGUGAGAGCCCCGUAUAGUUGGAUGCCUAGCCUGUGUAAAGCUCCUUCGACGAGUCGAGUAGUUUGGGAAUGCUGCUCAAAAUGGGAGGUAAAUUUCUUCUAAAGCUAAAUACCGGCCAGAGACCGAUAGCGCACAAGUAGAGUGAUCGAAAGAUGAAAAGCACUUUGAAAAGAGGGUUAAAUAGCACGUGAAAUUGUUGAAAGGGAAGCGCUUGUGACCAGACUUGCGCCGGGCAGAUCAUCCGGUGUUCUCACCGGUGCACUCUGCCCGGCUCAGGCCAGCAUCGGUUCUCGCGGGGGGAUAAAGGCCCUGGGAACGUAGCUCCUCCGGGAGCGUUAUAGCCCGGGGCGUAAUGCCCUCGCGGGGACCGAGGUUCGCGCAUCUGCAAGGAUGCUGGCGUAAUGGUCAUCAGCGACCCGUCUUGAAACACGGACCAAGGAGUCAAGGUUUUGCGCGAGUGUUUGGGUGUAAAACCCGCACGCGUAAUGAAAGUGAACGUAGGUGAGAGCUUCGGCGCAUCAUCGACCGAUCCUGAUGUUUUCGGAUGGAUUUGAGUAGGAGCGUUAAGCCUUGGACCCGAAAGAUGGUGAACUAUGCUUGGAUAGGGUGAAGCCAGAGGAAACUCUGGUGGAGGCUCGCAGCGGUUCUGACGUGCAAAUCGAUCGUCAAAUCUGAGCAUGGGGGCGAAAGACUAAUCGAACCAUCUAGUAGCUGGUUACCGCCGAA